Molecule: non-coding RNA, 94 nt
Organism: Rhodofomes roseus
Lineage: Eukaryota; Fungi; Basidiomycota; Agaricomycetes; Polyporales; Fomitopsidaceae
Source: the annotation of a RefSeq genome assembly
GUUCCCAUCGAUUAGUGGUCAGAUCAUCACGUUGUGGCGUCAACAGCAGCUGUUCGAAACCGUGGAGACGGGGGCUCGACUCCCCCUGGGAACA